Dicentrarchus labrax (European seabass) is the source of this 1197-nucleotide long non-coding RNA. RefSeq lists it as uncharacterized. The record is from RefSeq and is a predicted model, not a curated record. The transcript has 3 exons. Lineage: Eukaryota; Metazoa; Chordata; Actinopteri; Moronidae.
GCUUCGCAAGAGCGUGAAAUCCAGAUGGAGGGCAAGAAGUGAAGUAACCGAGAAUCUGCCGUCUGAAAAAAUGCCUGUUUUGUUUAGUUUACGGCUGCUCCAAUCGUUCUAACUGAGAAAAGGGAAAGGGUACCAAAGAUUGUCGUUCAUAAAGGUGAGAAAUGUAAAAAGCUCACAGAACAACGCCGUAAAAAAUGGAUUUUAAACGUACGUCUGUGGUCUGGAGGAGCAGAGUCUGCUAAUGCCCUAGUCUGCAGCGGCCACUUCGUCGAGGCUGCCCUAGCGCUUUGGGUGACGUUGAGUCGGUAGACUGGGCUCCGACAGUCAACCUCGGUUACCAAAAAACUAAGCCCAUAUCAGAGGCAUCUCUUCAACGAGAGCAGAGGAUGAAGCUCAAGGAAGACCAACAAAGACAGUCGGAAUGUGCAGAGGCUAUGUUGGAUCUCCAGCAGACAGCUGAGAGCCCGGGUAUGAGCCCAGAUCUAACGCCGACUGCUCCGAACCGAAGCAGCCGGCUGACAACAACUCACAAUCAGAGGGCAUCAGCGGGAAUGGGACAUUCAAUGAUCAAGGCUAUGCAGAUACCGGAUGCCAGACUGAGCUAACGAUGGAUGACAUUGAGAAGAUGGAGGAUGUUCUGAUACAGAACACAACAGAGCUUGGAGAUCUUCGAACCAAAGCACUGGACACACAGUUCAACCAGGAGUCCUUUGAAAAAAUCACCAUACUGUAAAAUUUCUGAUUGGUGUUGCACCCCAAGGCUAUGUCACUGACAUAUCUGGUGCCUGGGGAGAGAGAGUCAGUGAUAAACAGAUCACAAUAGAGAGUGACCUCCUAAAAAACCUGUUACCUGGAGAUAUUGUCCUAUUAGACCGUGGGUUCAAUAUUGGCGAUAGUGUGGGAUUUUACUGUGCUUCACUACAGAUACCUGCAUUUACCAAGGGGAGAAAACAGCUGUCAGCGUAUGAGGUGGCAGAAACUAGAAAAAUAGCUAAUUUGCAUAUUCAUGUUGAGAGAGUCAUCAGUUUAGUCAGAAGAAAAUAUCAGAUUCUGCAAAGCAGGGCUAUGCCCAUAGAGCACAUGGCAACAAAACCAGGUGAGGCACUAGCACUGAUUGACAAGAUUGGGGUUAUUUGCUGUGUCUUGUCUAAUCUUUCGGAGUCUGUCGUCCCACUGGAGUAAGGAGGAGGGGAAGAG